This 385-nucleotide ribosomal RNA is filed under the name uncultured bacterium. RNAcentral's name for it is "bacterial SSU rRNA". It matches the Rfam family "Bacterial small subunit ribosomal RNA", at positions 29 to 417 of the family's 1533-position model. The record is from RNAcentral.
AUUGAACGCUGGCGGCAUGCCUUACACAUGCAAGUCGAACGGUAACGCGGGGCAACCUGGCGACGAGUGGCGAACGGGUGAGUAAUAUAUCGGAACGUGCCCAGUAGUGGGGGAUAGCCCGGCGAAAGCCGGAUUAAUACCGCAUACGACCUACGGGUGAAAGGCGGGGGAUCGCAAGACCUCGCGCUAUUGGAGCGGCCGAUAUCAGAUUAGGUAGUUGGUGGGGUAAAGGCCUACCAAGCCUACGAUCUGUAGCUGGUCUGAGAGGACGACCAGCCACACUGGGACUGAGACACGGCCCAGACUCCUACGGGAGGCAGCAGUGGGAAUUUUGGACAAUGGGCGCAAGCCUGAUCCAGCCAUGCCGCGUGCGGGAAGAAGGCCU